Molecule: long non-coding RNA, 470 nt
Organism: Platichthys flesus (European flounder)
Lineage: Eukaryota; Metazoa; Chordata; Actinopteri; Pleuronectiformes; Pleuronectidae
Exons: 6
Source: RefSeq, a predicted model, not a curated record
AAGGCGCUAGCGUGUAUAAAGGCAACGGGAGCCUCCCUACUAUUUCUCUCUCUUCCUGCUCUCCUCGAGAUGAAGACACGACAGACUUCUAACCAUGACUGGAACAGUAAUGGCCGCACAAAGUUUCGACCCUGGCCGUCUGAAUACAUUUCAGGUACUGCUGAGAGUGAGAAGACUAGCCACAGCAACUACCUCACUUGCUGGUGACCAUGGCUGACCUCUAUAGUGACUGGAUAAAGACUGCUCAUGUCUUGGCAUCACUCGGACUCAUGGCCUCAGGUCUCGCAUCGCUGGGCUGUGUGGGCUCCCAACCCUUCCUGCUUAUCAAGAGACAGUGACAUCUGGGGAACUGCUGCAGGCCGUCCCAAAGGACAACAACUUAGGCAUCAUGUUUAACUGCCAUGACGUUCAUGCACAAUAAUUGAACUGUGUGAAAUUGUUUGUUGGCAAUAAAAAAAACUGCAAACUAA